This 332-nucleotide ribosomal RNA is filed under the name uncultured bacterium. RNAcentral's name for it is "bacterial SSU rRNA". It matches the Rfam family "Bacterial small subunit ribosomal RNA", at positions 568 to 898 of the family's 1533-position model. The record is from RNAcentral.
CGUGUAGGCGGUUGGGUACGUCAGAUGUGAAAGCCUUCUGCUUAACAGAAGAAGUGCAUUUGAAACUGCUCGGCUAGAGUACGGGAGAGGAGAGUGGAAUUCCCGGUGUAGAGGUGAAAUUCGUAGAUAUCGGGAGGAACACCAGUGGCGAAGGCGGCUCUCUGGUCCGAUACUGACGCUGAGACGCGAAAGCGUGGGGAGCAAACAGGAUUAGAUACCCUGGUAGUCCACGCCGUAAACGAUGGGCACUAGGUGUAGGAGGUAUUGACCCCUUCUGUGCCGAAGCUAACGCAUUAAGUGCCCCGCCUGGGGAGUACGGCCGCAAGGCUAAA